RNAcentral lists this long non-coding RNA (1065 nucleotides) under Oryza sativa Indica Group (long-grained rice). RNAcentral describes it as "lncRNA OsMH63_08G016210". Lineage: Eukaryota; Viridiplantae; Streptophyta; Magnoliopsida; Poales; Poaceae. The record is from RNAcentral.
GCGGCGGCCGAGGCGGCAGCCGUGGCGGAUGCAGCACCCAAGGCGGCGGCGGCGGCAGCGGCUGAGGACGCGGCUGCGGCGACGCGGACCAAGCUUGCGCGGCUCGCCUUGUUUGUGGUGGGCUUCGCGUUCGCGCUCGGCGCGGUGUGGCUGGCCAGCGCGUUCAGGAUCGCCAGCGCCGUGGACCACUGCCUCGCGGUGAAGGUCCACUGGUUGGCCGACCCCAUGUGCCGCGACACGGUGGUGUUCGCGGCUCCCCUGGCCGUCGCCUCGCUGAUCCUCAUGGCCGCGGCCGUGCGCCGACAGGUCAAGGCCGAGGCGGAGCCCGGCGCCCAGAUCCGCGAGGCUGCGGGUGUAACCCACGACGUCCUCCCUGAUCCCGAGCUGCAGCCGCCAUUGCCGCCGCCGCCGCCGCAGCCGGCGGUUGCGCUGGCCUCUGGACUAGAGCGGCGCCUCCUCCUGUGUGGUUCAGAUGAAGUAGUCAUGCUCACCAUCAUCUCCAUUUACCUAUGCUGUGCCACCUUCAUUCUUGUGGGUAUACUGCUCCGAAUGUUUGGCGCUCUCUUCCUUGUGUACUACCCAGGUGAUGAGCUCGAGAUUGCUCUUCUCAUGGGGGUUGGUUCAGGAUUCAAGAACGUUGGCUACUUGUGGCUGGCUGUGGGGCAUUUCUUUCUCAUCAUUCCUUACGCCGUGCUCAGGCUGAGGAGGUUCCUCAACCAGUUCGUGUCGAUCUUCGUGAUGCACGUUGCCAACAGAGUAUUGGAUCAGCGGCAGUAUCGGAUCGCUGAUCCAAAUGCUGCCGCAUUCCAGUUUGUCAGGCUUCUGGUCAUUCUGAGUAGCUGCCGAUGCUGCCAUCGCCACUGCCACCUCCUCGCGGAUUCCCCCGCGUACUGUGCCUGCGCCAAGAGCAACUGCACGAUAGCCGUCGCCUUCCUGGCCAUGCUGGGCAUGGCCGUGUGCGCGGAGGUCAAGGCCGACGCGGAGGAAGAAGCCCAGAUCAUCCGCGUGGUAGUAGCAAGCAGCCAGAGCCGCCAUUUGUCAUUUGUGUGUGUUGUAGCUAAGUAG